Heterocephalus glaber (naked mole-rat) is the source of this 72-nucleotide non-coding RNA. The record is from Rfam. Lineage: Eukaryota; Metazoa; Chordata; Mammalia; Rodentia; Bathyergidae.
AGUGAUGUAGCUCAGUGGUAGAGUGCUUGCCUAGCAUGCAGUAAGCUCUAGGUUCGAUUCCCAGCAUUGCAA